Molecule: ribosomal RNA, 253 nt
Filed under: uncultured microorganism
Description: partial 16S ribosomal RNA
Rfam family: Bacterial small subunit ribosomal RNA
Source: RNAcentral
UACGGAGGGUGCGAGCGUUAUUCGGAAUUACUGGGCGUAAAGCGCGUGUAGGCGGCAGGGCAAGUCUGGUGUGAAAGCCCGGGGCUCAACCCCGGAAGUGCAUUGGAAACUGCUCUGCUUGAGUACCGGAGAGGAAGGGGGAAUUCCCGGUGUAGCGGUGAAAUGCGUAGAUAUCGGGAGGAAUACCAGUGGCGAAAGCGGCUCUCUGGACUGUCACUGACACUGAGGCUCGAAAGCGUGGGUAGCAAACAGG